RNAcentral lists this ribosomal RNA (430 nucleotides) under uncultured bacterium. Its description in RNAcentral is "bacterial SSU rRNA". It matches the Rfam family "Bacterial small subunit ribosomal RNA", at positions 346 to 793 of the family's 1533-position model. The record is from RNAcentral.
AGGCAGCAGUUGGGAAUAUUGGACAAUGGGCGAAAGCCUGAUCCAGCAAUGCCGCGUGAGUGAUGAAGGCCUUAGGGUUGUAAAGCUCUUUUACCCGGGAUGAUAAUGACAGUACCGGGAGAAUAAGCUCCGGCUAACUCCGUGCCAGCAGCCGCGGUAAUACGGAGGGAGCUAGCGUUGUUCGGAAUUAUUGGGCGUAAAGAGCUCGUAGGCGGUUUGUCGCGUCUGCUGUGAAAACGCGAGGCUCAACCUCGCGCCUGCAGUGGGUACGGGCAGACUAGAGUGCGGUAGGGGAGACUGGAAUUCCUGGUGUAGCGGUGGAGUGUGCAGAUAUCAGGAGGAACACCGGUGGCGAAGGCGGGUCUCUGGGCCGUAACUGACGCUGAGGAGCGAAAGCAUGGGGAGCGAACAGGAUUAGAUACCCCGGUAG